UUUUUUUUUUUUUUUUUUUUUUUUUUUUUUUUUUUUUUGAA
This 41-nucleotide non-coding RNA is filed under the name Alexandrium minutum. Lineage: Eukaryota; Dinophyceae; Gonyaulacales; Pyrocystaceae. The record is from RNAcentral.